Molecule: non-coding RNA, 86 nt
Organism: Branchiostoma floridae (Florida lancelet)
Lineage: Eukaryota; Metazoa; Chordata; Leptocardii; Amphioxiformes; Branchiostomatidae
Source: Rfam
GUGUGUGGAUGGUGUUCAGCACCACGGACAGGUGUGUUUACUUGUGUGUGGAUGGUGUUCAGCACCAGGGACAGGUGUGUUUGCCU